This 432-nucleotide ribosomal RNA is filed under the name uncultured soil bacterium. Its description in RNAcentral is "bacterial SSU rRNA". It matches the Rfam family "Bacterial small subunit ribosomal RNA", at positions 26 to 454 of the family's 1533-position model. The record is from RNAcentral.
AGGACGAACGCUGGCGGCGUGCCUAACACAUGCAAGUCGAACGGAGCCAGGGGCAACCCUGGUUCAGUGGCGGACGGGUGCGUAACACGUGAGGAACAUGUCUUUCGGUGGGGGAUAGCCGGCCCAACGGCCGGGUAAUACCGCAUACGCUGACUUGAGCUCCUGCUCUGGUUCGAAAGCAGCAAUGCGCCGAUUGAGUGCCUCGCGGCCUAUCAGCUAGUUGGUGAGGUAACGGCUCACCAAGGCGACGACGGGUAGCUGGUCUGAGAGGACGGCCAGCCACAUUGGGACUGAGACACGGCCCAGACCUCCUACGGGAGCAGCAGGUGGGAAUAUUGCGCAAGUGGGACGAAAGCCGUGACGCAGCGACGCCGCGUGGUGGGAUGGAAGGUCCUUGGGUUACGUAAACCGCGUGGUACGGGAGGAACGAAG